UCGCCAUGGACUCAGUGGUCAUUACCAUGGGCUAUGAAGGCCUGGGCUCUCCCCAGCUCUGCCAUUUAUUGGCUGGUCAACAUUGAAAAAGAAACAUCUGUGCUUCCAUCUCACCAUCUGCGAAAUGGGGUAAUAACCCCCACCCCUACCACACCAGGUGGGGAGAACCGGAUGAGGCGGUGACAGGUGGGGAGAAUUGGAUGAGGCAGUGACAGCUUUCAGCUUCCCACGGUGCCAAAAG
Molecule: long non-coding RNA, 241 nt
Filed under: Homo sapiens (human)
Lineage: Eukaryota; Metazoa; Chordata; Mammalia; Primates; Hominidae
Description: HSALNT0387531
Source: RNAcentral